GAUGAACGCUGACAGAAUGCUUAACACAUGCAAGUCGACUCGAGUCUUCGGACUUGGGUGGCGCACGGGUGAGUAACGCGUAAAGAACUUGCCUCUUAGACCGGGACAACAUCUGGAAACGGAUGCUAAUACCGGAUAUUAUGGUUUUUUCGCAUGGAGGAAUCAUGAAAGCUGGAUGCGCUAAGAGAGAGCUUUGCGUCCCAUUAGCUAGUUGGUGAGGUAACGGCCCACCAAGGCAAUGAUGGGUAGCCGGCCUGAGAGGGUGAACGGCCACAAGGGGACUGAGACACGGCCCUUACUCCUACGGGAGGCAGCAGUGGGGAAUAUUGGACAAUGGACCGCAAGUCUGAUCCAGCAAUUCUGUGUGCACGAUGACGUUUUUCGGAAUGUAAAGUGCUUUCAGUCGGGAAGAAGUCAGUGACGGUACCGACAGAAGAAGCGACGGCUAAAUACGUGCCAGCAGCCGCGGUAAUACGUAUGUCGCAAGCGUUAUCCGGAUUUAUUGGGCGUAAAGCGCGUCUAGGCGGCAAGGAAAGUCUGAUGUGAAAAUGCGGAGCUCAACUCCGUAUGGCGUUGGAAACUGCCUUACUAGAGUACUGGAGAGGUAGGCGGAACUACAAGUGUAGAGGUGAAAUUCGUAGAUAUUUGUAGGAAUGCCGAUGGGGAAGCCAGCCUACUGGACAGAUACUGACGCUAAAGCGCGAAAGCGUGGGGUAGCAAACAGG
Molecule: ribosomal RNA, 725 nt
Filed under: uncultured Fusobacterium sp.
Lineage: Bacteria; Fusobacteriati; Fusobacteriota; Fusobacteriia; Fusobacteriales; Fusobacteriaceae
Description: bacterial SSU rRNA
Rfam family: Bacterial small subunit ribosomal RNA
Source: RNAcentral